UAUAUGCUAAACGCCAUAUAAAAGUUCCUGUGUGUUAAAGCUCCUCAUUCAGUCAACUUUAUUCUUCUAAAUGUGUUUCCAAUGGCUGACGGGGAUUUUUCACUGUCUCCGAGGGAGAUGCUCCCGCCGGAACAGGGGCUACAACAAUGACAUCCCCUCGCACUACGGAGGAUGCCAAGGGUGCUCCUCAAGCAUCGAGGGACGGGGCUCCUUCUUCUUUGGUGGGGAUGGCUCUGUCACCUGCAGCCGGGAAGCUUCGCCCUGCCCAAUCAUGCCAGCAUCCUCCACCUGCAGUGUUUCAGCGGGGUGGGAGCAGCGGGGAAUUGGGGUUCUCUAGUGGAGCAUCGGGCUAUGGCAGUGGGGAGUUCUCCAGCCCAGAGCUGAGCUCUGGAGGUGCUGGAUCCUCCCAGGCCAUGCAGCAGAAGUGCCCCGUGGUCAUUCCCGACAUUGAGACCCAACAGAGCAAGAAGAGCUGCCACUGGCCCCCCAGCCAGAAGAAAUGAAGGACCCAGCAGCCGCCCCUGCCCAUGCAGACAUGCCCUGGAUGUGCCACGUUGAGGCUUUUCCCAUGGACCGGGAGCUUUGAAUUCCUUACAUCAGCCUGCACUUGUAAUGCUGUUGGGAGCACCUCUGGGAAAAGGGCUUCAUGCUUUGGUGGUUGGUUUGGCUUCCUCCUUUUUCUCAUGGCUUGGGAAAUAAAGCCUCAUUGUCUGAGGGAACUUCA
This 724-nucleotide long non-coding RNA is filed under the name Anas platyrhynchos platyrhynchos (common mallard). RNAcentral's name for it is "lncRNA (ENSAPLG00000019103.1)". The record is from RNAcentral. Lineage: Eukaryota; Metazoa; Chordata; Aves; Anseriformes; Anatidae.